GUCGAUUUCAAGCUCUGAUUAUGAGGAGAAUCAGAGUAAACGCUUUCAGUUUAAAUCGGAACCUCAAGUAUUCAUCGAUCUUACUUCACCGAAAUCAAGGAAAUUGUGUAGCGCUAGUGAUAGGAAACCUUCACUGAAAAUUGAUUUACCUCCGGUGAAGAAGUAUGAAUGGAUCGAUUUUGGUAAUUCGGCUCAAUCGAAUCCGAUUGUUUCGGUUCCUGUGAAACAGAUUAGGGAAGCUGAAGAGAAGAGGCAUUACAGAGGAGUGCGGCAGCGGCCAUGGGGAAAGUACGCGGCGGAGAUCCGAGAUCCGAGACGCCGUGGUUCUAGAGUUUGGCUUGGAACAUUUGAUACUGCAAUUGAAGCGGCGAAGGCUUAUGAUAAAGCUGCAUUUACGAUGCGAGGAAGUAAAGCGAUUCUGAAUUUUCCUUUGGAGGUAGGGAAGACUCUGUCGUAUUCAAGCUCCGCCGUGGAAGGCGGCGUGAAGCGGCGGAGAGAAGCGGUGGAAACUGAAGAAGAGAAGGUGGUGAAGAAGUGUAAGGAAGAGGAGUCAUGUCCAUUAACGCCGUCAAGUUGGAAUUUCGUUUUUGAACAGAACUGUAACGGAAUGUUUAACCUCCCUCCAUUAUCACCGUUAUCUCCUCACCUAAGCUGUUCGCAGCUUAUUCAAAUAUGAGUGACUAUUAAGAGCUUACAUGAUAUUAUGAAUCUAGUUCAUGACUGUAUAUG
RNAcentral lists this unclassified non-coding RNA (729 nucleotides) under Hevea brasiliensis (rubber tree). The record is from RNAcentral. Lineage: Eukaryota; Viridiplantae; Streptophyta; Magnoliopsida; Malpighiales; Euphorbiaceae.